GUAGGUGGCAAGCGUUGUCCGGGAAUUAUUGGGGCGUAGAGCGCGCGCAGGCGGUUCUUUAAGUCUGAUGUGAAAGCCCACGGGCUCAACCGUGGAGGGUCAUUGGAAACUGGAGAACUUGAGUACAGAAGAGGAAAGCGGAAUUCCACGUGUAGCGGUGAAAUGCGUAGAGAUGUGGAGGAACACCAGUGGCGAAGGCGGCUUUCUGGUCUGUAACUGACGCUGAGGCGCGAAAGCGUGGGGAGCAAACAGGAUUAGAUACCCUGGUAGUCCACGCCGUAAACGAUGAGUGCUAAGUGUUAGGGGGUUUCCGCCCCUUAGUGCUGCAGCUAACGCAUUAAGCACUCCGCCUGGGGAGUACGGCCGCAAAGGCUGA
Molecule: ribosomal RNA, 376 nt
Filed under: uncultured organism
Description: partial 16S ribosomal RNA
Rfam family: Bacterial small subunit ribosomal RNA
Source: RNAcentral